This is a long non-coding RNA of Engraulis encrasicolus (European anchovy), 1361 nucleotides long. RefSeq lists it as uncharacterized. NCBI's taxonomy places the organism in Eukaryota, Metazoa, Chordata, Actinopteri, Clupeiformes, Engraulidae. The record is from RefSeq and is a predicted model, not a curated record. The transcript is spliced from 3 exons.
UUAAUAUUCAAGAAAUAUUAAAUUUGGCAAUAGGCAGAAAGGUUUCAAUGAGCAGCAUAGUUGCAAUGCCUACUCUGGCCACAAUCUUACACAGUGCACCUUUAAGUGUUCUGGUGUUUAAGUUAUCAGAUCAUAGCUUACUGCUUAAAGCCAUGUGUCCUGAUUUUAUCUUAACCCAAAACGUCACAUAAUUGAGCAUCCAUACCUCGUACGCUGUUAUGGUCCUUUAGUGGAACUAUAUGUACAUAAUAUUCUCAAGGCAUGAUUGUCACAGUUGGGCAUUGCUUGGCUAAGUAUUAUUCUUGUUGCUUGCCAUUAUAGGUUCUUGAAAGUAGAGAGCAGUGUCUAUGUUAAAAUCAUGGUUGCUGGCAUCAAUUAAUUGAAUCAUUACUGUCCUUUGACAGCUGACCUUGUUGGGGGAAGGCUCUGGGUGACGCUGAGGACACAUUGUUGACGGAUCAUGACCUCUGACAUCCUCAGGCACCGCAAAGAUGCUGCUCUUCGAGGACUUCCAGUAUUUCUCUGUGAGGACCCCAAGGAACUUUUCAAAGAGUGCCUUGAGGCCGAUGCAGAUGGUGUGGCUGUGGGCAUUCUAUAUGUUCGUGAAGACUGUGGUCCAGGUACAUCUACGCGAGUGCAAAACAUUGCCGUCAUCCUCGAGGAGAGUUGUUUUGCAAGAUAUCCCAGAUACCCCAACUGCUCUGGCAUACCUUUUUGGCAUACCUUACCUUUUUUUCCUUUAUGCCCUGAAUAUCUCCUACCCAAAGGCUCUGAAGUAUACCUUCGAUACUUUGCAAAAUGUCUUCAUGGAGAUUUGUCUCAAAUGUACACGGCGUGUACAAUCUCUGAAAAACAAACUGGCACUGUAAGACUGACGGCGAGGCUGCAAUGUCAAGUUCCCAUGACUGCCUAUGUUCUCACAAUGUUGGAGUAUGGCUAUAUUUCUGAGGGAAAAAAUGUGGAUGACAUUUGAACUUAGCUUAUACUGUAAGACUGAAGACGAGGCUGUAUUUUGAAAUGUGUGGCGGUUACAUCAAGUUCCUUUGAUGGCCUAUGCUCCCACGGUGUUGGAGUAUGACUACCUUGUAUUUCUGAGGGGAAAAUGGGGAAGACAUUUUAACAAACUUGCACUUGAAGAGUGAAUACAAGGUUGUAUUUUGAGAUGCAUACUGGUUACGUCAAGUUCCCCUUGAUGACCCAUCUUCUCACAGUGUGGAGUAUCGCUGAGUUUUACCUCCUUACUUGGGCUAUACUAGCCUGGUUCUCACCGAUGGUGCGGGUGUGUACACAAACCAGCAUCUGGUAGCGUUGCCAUUAACAUGCUCUUCUGGAGUCGAAAAUAAAUGGUGCAUUUAUUGCAA